RNAcentral lists this ribosomal RNA (253 nucleotides) under uncultured bacterium. Its description in RNAcentral is "partial 16S ribosomal RNA". It matches the Rfam family "Bacterial small subunit ribosomal RNA", at positions 524 to 776 of the family's 1533-position model. The record is from RNAcentral.
GACAGAGGGUGCAAACGUUGUCCGGAAUUAUUGGGCGUAAAGCGCGCGCAGGCGGUUCUUUAAGUCUUAUGUGAAAGCCCACGGCUCAACCGUGGAGGGUCAUUGGAAACUGGGGGACUUGAGUGCAGGAGAGAAGAGUGGAAUUCCACGUGUAGCGGUGAAAUGCGUAGAGAUGUGGAGGAACACCAGUGGCGAAGGCGACUCUUUGGCCUGUAACUGACGCUGAGGCGCGAAAGCGUGGGGAGCAAACAGG